RNAcentral lists this ribosomal RNA (433 nucleotides) under uncultured bacterium. RNAcentral's name for it is "partial 16S ribosomal RNA". It matches the Rfam family "Bacterial small subunit ribosomal RNA", at positions 29 to 507 of the family's 1533-position model. The record is from RNAcentral.
AACGAACGCUGGCGGCAUGCCUAACACAUGCAAGUCGAACGAGACCUUCGGGUCUAGUGGCGCACGGGUGCGUAACGCGUGGGAACCUGCCCUUAGGUUCGGAAUAACUCCCCGAAAGGGGUGCUAAUACCGGAUAAUGUCUUCGGACCAAAGAUUUAUCGCCUUUGGAUGGGCCCGCGUUGGAUUAGCUAGUUGGUAGGGUAAAAGCCUACCAAGGCGACGAUCCAUAGCUGGUCUGAGAGGAUGAUCAGCCACACUGGGACUGAGACACGGCCCAGACUCCUACGGGAGGAAGAAGUGGGGAAUAUUGGACAAUGGGCGAAAGCCUGAUCAAGCAAUGCCGCGUGAGUGAUGAAGGCCUUAGGGUUGUAAAACUCUUUUACCCGGGAUGAUAAUGACAGUACCGGGAGAAUAAGCUCCGGCUAACUCCGUG